RNAcentral lists this ribosomal RNA (168 nucleotides) under uncultured bacterium. RNAcentral's name for it is "partial 16S ribosomal RNA". It matches the Rfam family "Bacterial small subunit ribosomal RNA", at positions 338 to 524 of the family's 1533-position model. The record is from RNAcentral.
CCUACGGGAGGCAGCAGUGGGGAAUAUUGGACAAUGGCGAAAGCCUGAUCCAGCAAUGCCGCGUGAGUGAUGAAGGCCUUAGGGUUGUAAAGCUCUUUUACCAGGGAUGAUAAUGACAGUACCUGGAGAAUAAGCUCCGGCUAACUCCGUGCCAGCAGCCGCGGUAAU